AGGAAUGAGAAUCGUAAAGGUUCGAGUCGAGCGAAGCGAGACAGCAGCGCGUAGCGUUGACCCGAAGGGCGAGUCCGCAGGACGAGUAAUCCUGCACGACCGACC
Molecule: small RNA, 105 nt
Filed under: Yersinia kristensenii
Lineage: Bacteria; Pseudomonadati; Pseudomonadota; Gammaproteobacteria; Enterobacterales; Yersiniaceae
Description: RtT RNA
Rfam family: RtT RNA
About the family: This family represents a bacterial cis-regulatory element known as RtT RNA.
Source: RNAcentral